UGCUUGAACUAAAAAGAGAAGAUUUCAUAAAAAUAAAAAACAUGAUCGAAGAUGAGAAAAAAAAAAAGAAAAAAAAAUGUCACAUAUUGGAAAUAAUAGAUAAUAACAAUUUAAGUAAUAUGAUGAUAAAUUUUAAAGAUAGUUUGGAAAAUGUAUUGUCUGUUUAUUUACAUUCUUGUAAUAAGUUUUUAAAAGAGUAUUCAAAGAAUGACAACAGUAAGGAACAUGCGCAUUUUGUUUUUGUUAUUGGGAAUAUCACAGCCGAUUUAGAUUCUGUUUGUUCGGCUAUAAUGUACAGUUUUUUUUUAUACAUAUGGGAUUGCUUAAAAUGUAAAAUUACAAAGGGAAUGAUAUCUCAAAAGUUAAAGUUUUUUAUACCUGUUAUUAAUAUUAAAAAAAAGUGAUAUGAAGAUUAAACAUUUGGUUAAAAUUAUAUUAUUUUGUGAUAUAAAUAUGUUUACAGUUUUUUUUUAUAUCUUUUUUUUUUAAAAAAAAAGUGUAUACUAAAUAUAAAAAACAGGAAUAUAUAUAAUUUUUUGUUAUUACGAAUUAUUUUAAACAUAUAUUUUUGUGUCGUUUUCCACAUUUUUCGUAAUUAAAAAAAAUAGUAUUUUAUUUUGUGCUACUUUUAUGUUUUUCUUUUUGUAAUAGACAAGCUGGUGGCUACAAAUGUGUAAUCUUAAAAAACCGGAAGAAAUUUUAAUAUUUAAUGACAAUGAUAAUUUAUUGAAUGUUUUAAAGAAUAACAAAAGGUAUCAAAUAUGUUUGGUUGACUUAAAUGAAAUUGUACCUAAUAAUUUGUACAAUAUAAAUAAUAUAAAAUCGAUAAUUGACCAUCAUAUAAUUAAAAAAGAAGAUAUAUCUAAAAAUAUAACCAAAUCAAUUUAUCCUAUAUGUGUGUGUAGUUGUAUGGUUAUUAUAGCUUAUUUAUAUAAAUUUUCGAGCAAGUAUCUCAAUAUACCCUUUAUUAAUAGAUCUAUGAUGUGGCUAGUAUAUGGAACCAUUUUAAAAGAUUCAAACAACUUUAUAGAAAAGGAUUUUCAGAAACGAUGGAUACUAGCGGAUUUAAAAAUAUUUGUAUCUUUGAAAGAAUACUUUAGAAUACCAAAACAAAUGGACAUAUAUAUCACAUACAUGUUCAACGUUAUUAGAUUUACCAUUGAUUUAAAAAAAUAUAAUAUAGAAAAUUUAUUAUUCGUCGAUUACAAAGACUAUCAUUAUGGAAUUUUAAAAAAAAAAAUAAAAAUAAGAGCGGCAUCAAUAGAUUUUAGUAUAGAUCUUUUAAUUACCCACAACGACAAUAAAAACCUCACUGACAAAAUGUGUGAGUUGUGCGACGAAAAAAACAUAUCUCUUUUUAUAUUAUUGGGAUCUUAUUUAAAAAACUUUAAACUAUUUAAAGACAUGGGUAUUUUGUUUUAUAAUGAUGAUAUAAAAGCAGAAGAAUUAAUGAAUGCCUUGUUGAAGGAAGUUGAUGCAAAACUUACGAAAAAAAAAAGCACAAAUGUAAUUUGGGAAACAAAUUCUAAAAACUUUGAAAUAUAUCAAAUAAACAACGCAAGUUAUUCAAGAAAAAAGUUAGAGUGUUUUUUAAAUGAAUAUAUGAAUAAAUAUUACAAAAAUUAA
This is a long non-coding RNA of Piliocolobus tephrosceles (Ugandan red Colobus), 1626 nucleotides long. Lineage: Eukaryota; Metazoa; Chordata; Mammalia; Primates; Cercopithecidae. The record is from Ensembl.